This 539-nucleotide ribosomal RNA is filed under the name Botrytis sp. LH-2021a. Its description in RNAcentral is "partial large subunit ribosomal RNA". It matches the Rfam family "Eukaryotic large subunit ribosomal RNA", at positions 94 to 647 of the family's 3401-position model. Lineage: Eukaryota; Fungi; Ascomycota; Leotiomycetes; Helotiales; Sclerotiniaceae. The record is from RNAcentral.
UGAAGCGGUAAAAGCUCAAAUUUGAAAUCUGGCUCUUUUAGAGUCCGAAUUGUAAUUUGUAGAAGAUGCUUCGGGUGUGGUUCCGGUCUAAGUUCCUUGGAACAGGACGUCAUAGAGGGUGAGAAUCCCGUAUGUGACUGGAUACCUAUGCUCAUGUGAAGCUCUUUCGACGAGUCGAGUUGUUUGGGAAUGCAGCUCAAAAUGGGAGGUAUAUUUCUUCUAAAGCUAAAUAUUGGCCAGAGACCGAUAGCGCACAAGUAGAGUGAUCGAAAGAUGAAAAGCACUUUGGAAAGAGAGUUAAACAGUACGUGAAAUUGUUGAAAGGGAAGCGCUUGCAAUCAGACUUGCACUUGGUGUUCAUCAGGGUCUCGUACCCUGUGUACUUCAUCAAGUUCAGGCCAGCAUCAGUUUGAGUGGUUAGAUAAAGGCUUAGAGAAUGUGGCCCUCUUCGGGGGGUGUUAUAGCUCUAGGUGCAAUGUAGCCUACUUGGACUGAGGACCGCGCUUCGGCUAGGAUGCUGGCGUAAUGGUUGUAAGCGA